RNAcentral lists this ribosomal RNA (369 nucleotides) under uncultured bacterium. RNAcentral describes it as "partial 16S ribosomal RNA". It matches the Rfam family "Bacterial small subunit ribosomal RNA", at positions 338 to 724 of the family's 1533-position model. The record is from RNAcentral.
CCUACGGGAGGCAGCAGUAGGGAAUAUUGCUCAAUGGGGGAAACCCUGAAGCAGCAACGCCGCGUGGAGGAUGAAGGUUUUCGGAUUGUAAACUCCUUUUGUUAGAGAAGAUAAUGACGGUAUCUAACGAAUAAGCACCGGCUAACUCCGUGCCAGCAGCCGCGGUAAUCCGGAGGGUGCAGGCGUUACUCGGAAUCACUGGGCGUAAAGGGCGCGUAGGCGGGAUAGCAAGUCAGAUGUGAAAGCCUAUGGCUUAACCAUAGAACUGCAUUUGAAACUGUUAUUCUAGAGUAUGGGAGGGGUAGGUGGAAUUCUUGGUGUAGGGGUAAAAUGCGUAGAGAUCAAGAGGAAUACUCAUCGCGAAGGCGA